GAGCUUAUAGCUCAGUUGGUUAGAGCGCUACAUUGACAUUGUAGAGGUCAGAAGUUCGAAUCUUCUUAGGCUCA
This 74-nucleotide transfer RNA is filed under the name Candidatus Magasanikiibacteriota bacterium. Its description in RNAcentral is "tRNA-Val". It matches the Rfam family "tRNA". Rfam says of the family: Transfer RNA (tRNA) molecules are approximately 80 nucleotides in length. Their secondary structure includes four short double-helical elements and three loops (D, anti-codon, and T loops). The record is from RNAcentral. Lineage: Bacteria; Candidatus Magasanikiibacteriota.